GAUGAACGCUGACAGAAUGCUUAACACAUGCAAGUCAACUUGAAUUUGGGUUUUUAACUUAGGUUUGGGUGGCGGACGGGUGAGUAACGCGUAAAGAACUUGCCUCACAGCUAGGGACAACAUUUGGAAACGAAUGCUAAUACCUAAUAUUAUGAUAAUAGGGCAUCCUAUAAUUAUGAAAGCUAUAAGCGCUGUGAGAGAGCUUUGCGUCCCAUUAGCUAGUUGGAGAGGUAACGGCUCACCAAGGCGAUGAUGGGUAGCCGGCCUGAGAGGGUGAUCGGCCACAAGGGGACUGAGACACGGCCCUUACUCCUACGGGAGGCAGCAGUGGGGAAUAUUGGACAAUGGACCAAGAGUCUGAUCCAGCAAUUCUGUGUGCACGAUGAAGUUUUUCGGAAUGCAAAGUGCUUUCAGUUGGGAAGAAAGAAAUGACGGUACCAACAGAAGAAGUGACGGCUAAAUACGUG
RNAcentral lists this ribosomal RNA (467 nucleotides) under uncultured bacterium. RNAcentral's name for it is "partial 16S ribosomal RNA". It matches the Rfam family "Bacterial small subunit ribosomal RNA", at positions 28 to 507 of the family's 1533-position model. The record is from RNAcentral.